UAAUACGAAGGGGGCUAGCGUUGUUCGGAAUUACUGGGCGUAAAGCGCACGUAGGCGGAUUUUUAAGUCAGGUGUGAAAUCCCGGGGCUCAACCUCGGAACUGCAUUUGAAACUGGAAGUCUUGAGACCAGGAGAGGUUAGCGGAAUACCGAGUGUAGAGGUGAAAUUCGUAGAUAUUCGGUGGAACACCAGUGGCGAAGGCGGCUAACUGGACUGGUACUGACGCUGAGGUGCGAAAGUGUGGGGAGCAAACAGG
Molecule: ribosomal RNA, 256 nt
Filed under: uncultured archaeon
Lineage: Archaea
Description: partial 16S ribosomal RNA
Rfam family: Bacterial small subunit ribosomal RNA
Source: RNAcentral